Vollenhovia emeryi is the source of this 74-nucleotide non-coding RNA. The record is from the annotation of a RefSeq genome assembly. Lineage: Eukaryota; Metazoa; Arthropoda; Insecta; Hymenoptera; Formicidae.
GCCUGGAUAGCUCAGUUGGAAGAGCAUUCGCCCGGCAAGCGGAAGGUCCCCAGGUUCGAAUCCCGGUCCAGUCC